RNAcentral lists this ribosomal RNA (1467 nucleotides) under uncultured Bordetella sp. RNAcentral's name for it is "partial 16S-23S ribosomal RNA intergenic spacer". It matches the Rfam family "Bacterial small subunit ribosomal RNA". The record is from RNAcentral. Lineage: Bacteria; Pseudomonadati; Pseudomonadota; Betaproteobacteria; Burkholderiales; Alcaligenaceae.
GGUUCGAUUCUGGCUCAGAUUGAAACGCUGGCGGGAUGUGACAUGAUGCAAGUCGAACGGCAGCACGGACUUCGGUCUGCGCGAGUGGCAAUCAAGAGUAAUGUAUCGGAACGUGCCUAUAGUGAUAACUACGCGAAAGCGUAGCUAAUACCGUAUACGCCCUUCGGGGGAAAGCGGGGACCUUCGGGCCGCAAUCAUUAGAGCGGCCGAUAUCGGAUUAGCUAGUUGGUGGGGCAACGGUCACCAGAAAAGGCGACGAUCCGUAGCUGGUUUGAGAGGACGACCAGCCACACUGGGACUGAGACACGGCCCAGACUCCUACGGGAGGCAGCAGUGGGGACUUUGGACAAUGGGGAAACCCUGAUCCAGCCAUCCCGCGUGUGCGAUGAAGGCCUCUUUCAAGCUGUAAAGCACUUUUGGCAGGAAAGAACGGCACGGGAUACUACCCGUGCAACUGACGGUACCUGCAGAAUAAGCACCGGCUAACCACACGUGCCAGCAGCCGCGGUAAUACGUAGGGUGCAAGUGUUAAUCGAACUACUGGGCGCAGCGUGCGCAGGCGGUUCGGAAAGAAAGAUGUGAAAUCCCAGAGCUUAACUUUGAACUGUGAUGAACUACUGAGCCAGGGAGUGUGUCAGAGGGAGGGAAUUCCGCGUGUAGCAGAAAUGCGUAGAUAUGCGGAGGAACACCGAUGGCGAAGGCAGCCUCCUGGGAUAACACUGACGCUCAUGCACGAAAGUGGGAGCAAACAGGAUUAGAUACCCUGGUAGUCCACGCCCUAAAACGAUGUCAACUAGCUGUUGGGGCUCUCGGGCCUGGUGCAGCGCAGCUAACGCGAAGUUGACCGCCUGGGAGUAUGGUCGCAAGAUUAAAACUCAAAGGAAUUGACGGGGACCCGCACAAGCGGUGGAUGAUGUGGAUUAAUUGAUGCAACAAAGGGAAACUUAUUCACCUGACAUGUCUGGAAUCCCGAAGAGAUUUUGGGAGUGCUCGCAAGAGAACCGGAACGAAAAGUGUAUGGCUGUCGUCAGCUCGUGUCGUGAGAUGCUUGGGUUGCGUCCCGCAACGAGCGGCAACCUCUUGUCAUUAUUGCUGCAUGAAAGGGCACUCUCAUCGAGAUUGCCGGUGACAAACCGGGAGGAAGGUGGGGAUGACGUCAAGUCCUCAUGGCUCUUGCGGGUAGGGCUUCACACGUCAUACAAUGGUCGGGACAGAGUAGUCGCCAACCCGCGAGGGGGAGCCAAUCCCAGAAACCCGAUCGUAGUCCGAUCGCAGUCUGCAACUCGACUGCGUGAAGUCGGUAUCGCUGGUAACGUGAUCGGUAUGUCGCAGAAUACGUUCCUGGUCUGUACACACCGCCCGUCACACCAUGGGAGUGGUUUUACCAGAAGUAGUUAGCCUAACCGUAAGGAGGGCGAUUACCACGGUAGGAUUCACAUGCGACUGGGGUGAAGUCGUAACAAGGUA